RNAcentral lists this small RNA (307 nucleotides) under Pan troglodytes (chimpanzee). Its description in RNAcentral is "retained intron". The record is from RNAcentral. Lineage: Eukaryota; Metazoa; Chordata; Mammalia; Primates; Hominidae.
GAAGUACGAGGAGAUGCGGGAGGAAGCUUCCAACAUCCUGCUGAACAAGAAGGAGCGGAGGCGCAACAGCAUCAAUCGGAACUUCGUCGGGGACUACCUGGGGCUGGAGGAGCGGCCCGAGCUGCGUCAGUUCCUGGGCAAGAGGGAGCGGGUGGACUUCGCCGAUUCGGUCACCAAGUACGACCGCCGCUUCAAGGUGAGGCACUAGUGGGUGGGCACAGCAAGACCCUGGCUACAGCCUGGCACCCUCACCUGGCACCUGCCCCAGAUAGCCAUCCUGCCCACAGGCCCCACGGAUAUCCCCCAC